GGUACCACAGCAUCCGGGCCCGAUCCACCAGACUGCUAAACAGCUUCUUUCAACAGGCUGUCAGGAUACUGAACUCUGCCUACUACCUCCACCCUCUGCCCCCUUCCCCUGGACUGUAACACACCCAUUUCACUAUGAUUCUACCUCAGCUGUUCUCCACUUCCAUUUUCUGCUCCAUAACAUUACAAUCCACAAUCUGUUUUGCACCUUACUGCACCAUUUGCACCUUAAUAUACCAUUUGCACAACUGUCAAACAAGCUGCUACCAUAUUGCACUACUGCUAUUACUGUCAGGGUGUCAGCUCUGAGCCAGGGCUUUUUAUUUUGUAGUUCAGUUGUGUUUGUAUUAUUUCCUGUUUUAUUUUGAAAUCAUUGACCUCCCUCUUGUUUCAGGUGUCUUGUCUUCCCCUUCCUUCUGUGCUCCCUCCUCCUGGUGAUUACCUACCCCGCCCUAAUGUGGUUCACCUGUGUCUCAUUGUCUGCCCUGCUCCUGUGUAUUUAGUGUCUGUGUCUCCCUGCACUCCCUGCCAGUUCGUCUUGUGCCUUUGCCAGACCUACCAGCCUUCGCUUUGGGUCCAGGAGACAUCCCCUCCACACUGAAGUGUACUUCUGCCUCCAGAGCUGCAGAGUGUGGAUCAAUGAUUGCAAACCACCUACUGUUACUAUUAUUACCUUUCGUCUCUGUGGAAUUUGCAUUGUGGUAUAUUCCCUUAUCUCUCUCUCUCUCUCUCUUUGUCUCUCAACCUAGCCAGUUGCAGCAAAUGGUUGUCCACCCUGAGCCCAUUUCUGCUUGAGGUUUUUGCCUGUCAAAGGGAAGUUUUGUCUUGCCACUGUCACCAAGUGCUUUGUUAUGGUGGGAAUUGUUGGGUCACUGUAAAAAAUAUUAUCAAGACUAUGGUCACGACCUGCUCUACAUGAAAAAUUUGAUAACCUCAGUAUUAAAUAAAAGUGACCUGACUCAACUUGGCUUUCUCCUUCUUCCACAAGGAUCUCUGGCCAAGGAGAGUCUAAA
Long non-coding RNA from Lates calcarifer (barramundi perch), 1012 nucleotides. RefSeq lists it as uncharacterized. The transcript is spliced from 3 exons. NCBI's taxonomy places the organism in Eukaryota, Metazoa, Chordata, Actinopteri, Centropomidae. The record is from RefSeq and is a predicted model, not a curated record.